RNAcentral lists this ribosomal RNA (497 nucleotides) under uncultured bacterium. RNAcentral describes it as "partial 16S ribosomal RNA". It matches the Rfam family "Bacterial small subunit ribosomal RNA", at positions 28 to 507 of the family's 1533-position model. The record is from RNAcentral.
GACGAACGCUGGCGGCGUACUUAAUACAUGCAAGUCGAGCGAACAGACCCGGCGCUUGUUCCUUUCACGUUUGCCGCGCACGUGAGUGUCACAUGUGUAUCAUCUCCCUAUCUGUCUGGUAUAACUUCGGGACACCGGCUCUUACCCCGUAUAAUAUACUGAUCCGUAUGGUUCAAUAGUGAAAUACGGUUUUUCUGUCUCUUCUAGCUGCUUCCGCGCCGCAUUAGCUAGUUGGUAAGGUAACGGCUUACCACGGCGACGAUGCGUAGCCGACCUGAGAGGGUGAUCGGCCACACUGGAACUGAGACACGGUCAAGACUCCUACGGGAGGCAGCAGUAGGGAAUCUUCCGCAAUGGGCGAAAGCCUGACGGAGCAACGCCGCGUGAGUGAUGAAGGUCUUCGGAUCGUAAAACUCGGUUAUUAGGGAAGAACAAAUGUGUAAGUAACUAUGCACGUCUUGACGGUACCUAAUCAGAAAGCCACGGCUAACUACGUG